AGAGUUUGAUCCUGGCUCAGGACUAACGCUGGCGGCAUGCUUUAUAUAUGCAAGUCGUACGGAACUAAUUAGCUUGCUUUUUAGUUUAGUGGCGCACGGGUGAGUAAUGCGUAGACAACCUGCCCCGAAGAUUGGGAUAACAGGCCGAAAGGUCUGCUACUACCGGAUAAGCCCCUGAGUACUUUGGUACAAAGGGGAAAAUGGUGGCUUCUAUUUGUAAGCUACCGCUUCGGGAGGGGUCUGCGUCCUAUUAGCUAGUUGGUAGGGUAAUGGCCUACCAAGGCGAUGAUGGGUAACCGGCUUGAGAGAGUGGCCGGUUACACUGGAAUUGAGAUACGGUCUAGACUCCUACGGGAGGUAGUAGUAGGGAAUUUUUCGUAAUGGGCGAAAGCCUGACGGAGCGAUGCCGCGUGAGCGAUGAAGGCCUUCGGGUUGUAAAGCUCUGUCACGGGGGAAGAAGGGCAGUAGUUCGAAUAGGGCUACUGUUUGACGGUACCUCGAGAGGAAGCCCCGGCUAAUUACGUGCCAGUAGUUGUGGUAAUACGUAAGGGGCAAGCGUUGUCCGGAUUCACUGGGCGUAAAGGGCGCGUAGGCGGCUCGACAAGUCAGAGGUGGAAGCUAUGGGCUCAACCCAUAAAUUGCCUUUGAAACUGUCAGGCUUGAGUUCUGCAGGGGAAAGUGGAAUUCAUGGUGUAGCGGUGAAAUGCGUAGAUAUCAUGGAGAACACCUGUGGUGAAGGUGGUUUUCUGGGCAGAAACUGACGCUGAGGCGCGAAAGCUAGGGGAGCGAACAGGAUUAGAUAUCCUGGUAGUUUUAGCUGUAAACGUUGAGUACUAGGUGUCGGGGCGGAUGUUCUCGGUGCCGGCGCUAACGCAUUAAGUACUCCGCCUGGGGACUACGACCGCAAGGUUAAAACUCAAAGGAAUUGACGGGUUUUGUAUAAGCGGUGGAGCAUGUGGUUUAAUUUGAUUAUGUGAAAAAUUUUAUUAGGAUUUGAUAUUUUUGGCCAUCCUAUGAAAAUAGGUUUAGGGAGUGAUCCCUUUGGGUGAUAGGUGGUGUAUGGCUGUCGUCAGCUCGUGUUGUGAGAUGUUGGGUUAAGUUUCGCAACGAGCGUAACCCCUAUCGUUAGUUGCCAGUAUUUAGUUGGGGAUUCUAACGAGAUUGUUUGUAAUAAGUGGGAGGAAGGUGGGGAUGACGUUAAGUCAGCAUGUUUUUUAUGUCCUGGGUUAUAUAUGUGUUAUAAUGGUUGGUAUUAAGAGUUGCAAAACCGCAAGGUAGAGCUAAUCUCCAAAGU
Molecule: ribosomal RNA, 1294 nt
Filed under: metagenome
Description: bacterial SSU rRNA
Rfam family: Bacterial small subunit ribosomal RNA
Source: RNAcentral